This 253-nucleotide ribosomal RNA is filed under the name uncultured bacterium. Its description in RNAcentral is "partial 16S ribosomal RNA". It matches the Rfam family "Bacterial small subunit ribosomal RNA", at positions 524 to 776 of the family's 1533-position model. The record is from RNAcentral.
UACGAAGGGGGCUAGCGUUGCUCGGAAUCACUGGGCGUAAAGGGUGCGUAGGCGGGGCUUUAAGUCAGGGGUGAAAUCCUGGAGCUCAACUCCAGAACUGCCUUUGAUACUGAGGAUCUUGAGUUCGGGAGAGGUGAGUGGAACUGCGAGUGUAGAGGUGAAAUUCGUAGAUAUUCGCAAGAACACCAGUGGCGAAGGCGGCUCACUGGCCCGAUACUGACGCUGAGGCACGAAAGCGUGGGGAGCAAACCGG